UCUAAUAUUAUUGUUUACUUUUUAUUUAUUUAUUUAAUUUUUUACUUGUUUUUUUAGAAUGGUCAUUCUCAUAACUCUAUUAUAUAUUUUAAAUUAUUGUGUAAUAAAUAUAAACUCUUAUUAUAUUAUUUCACAUUCACAUUUAAUUUAUAAUUUAUUUUUUUUUUUUAAGUUCCAAUCCACUACACUUUCAAUAACUCAAUUCAUUCACAUCAAUAGGUGAAUAUGGUUAAAAACAUCAACGUCUGCACAGACAAAUGUUUAACAUUAACCUUUACAAACCAAACAACAGAGAAGCUAGAACCCAAAACGUAAAACCAGAAUGGCGAAUCGAUCCAGCUCCAAAGUACAACUCAGUCACUGGCAGAUGGAUUUGUCAGUAAUUCAAGUGAU
This 393-nucleotide long non-coding RNA is filed under the name Carica papaya (papaya). RNAcentral describes it as "long non-coding RNA (CPAP_LNC015616)". The record is from RNAcentral. Lineage: Eukaryota; Viridiplantae; Streptophyta; Magnoliopsida; Brassicales; Caricaceae.